This 90-nucleotide transfer RNA is filed under the name Rhodotorula toruloides. Its description in RNAcentral is "Rhodosporidium toruloides tRNA". It matches the Rfam family "tRNA". Rfam says of the family: Transfer RNA (tRNA) molecules are approximately 80 nucleotides in length. Their secondary structure includes four short double-helical elements and three loops (D, anti-codon, and T loops). The record is from Rfam by way of RNAcentral. Lineage: Eukaryota; Fungi; Basidiomycota; Microbotryomycetes; Sporidiobolales; Sporidiobolaceae. RNAcentral also lists the same sequence under 1 other name.
GCACUGGUGGUUCAGUGGUAAAAUUGGACAUUGCCAAGUUGAUUACGACUCGACGUUGUCUAGCCCCGGGUCCGAUUCCCGGCCAGUGCA